RNAcentral lists this unclassified non-coding RNA (379 nucleotides) under uncultured Oligoflexales bacterium. RNAcentral's name for it is "contains 16S-23S intergenic spacer region". The record is from RNAcentral. Lineage: Bacteria; Pseudomonadati; Bdellovibrionota; Oligoflexia; Oligoflexales.
UCCGUGUUAACCACGGCAGUCUCUUUAGAGUGCCCAACUGAAUGCUGGCAACUAAAGACAAGGGUUGCGCUCGUUGCGGGACUUAACCCAACAUGUCACCACACGAGCUGACGACAGCCAUGCAGCACCUGUCAUCUGGUCGUAUUGCUACGAAGUACGUGUCUCCACGUAGGUCCAGAGAUGUCAAACCCAGGUAAGGUUUUUCGCGUUGCUUCGAAUUAAACCACAUGAUCCACCGCUUGUGCGGGCCCCCGUCAAUUCCUUUGAGUUUUAGUCUUGCGACCGUACUUCCCAGGCGGGGUACUUAGUGCGUUAGCUCCGGCUCGGCAGGGGUCAAGACCCGCCAAGCCUAGUACCCAUCGUUUACAGCGUGGACUAC